This 172-nucleotide non-coding RNA is filed under the name Natronobacterium lacisalsi AJ5. Its description in RNAcentral is "Halobiforma lacisalsi AJ5 Sense overlapping transcript RNA 0042 (sot)". It matches the Rfam family "Sense overlapping transcript RNA 0042 (sot)". From Rfam's summary of the family: It is associated with IS1341-type transposase (tnpB) genes, at the 3'-end in H. salinarum NRC-1. The tetraloop structural motif may be functional. The record is from Rfam by way of RNAcentral. Lineage: Archaea; Methanobacteriati; Methanobacteriota; Halobacteria; Halobacteriales; Natrialbaceae.
AGAUAACUCCGAGUCCUCACGGCGAGGAUAGGAGUAACGGCUGCGUGUCACAGCCCUCGACACACCUGUUCGACCGCGAGAGCGGGACAUUCAAACCGAGAGAACAGGUCGUGUCGUAGACCAGCAAAUAUCCCACCCACGGUACGGGAAGCCGCGUCCUUCAGGGCGCGGA